GUGCAGCAGGCGCGAAAACUUUGCAAUACACGAAAGUGUGACAGGGUCAUCCCGAGUGCCGACCGCUGAGGUUGGCUUUUACCCAGUCUAGAAAGCUGGGGGAAUAAGGAGAGGGCAAGUCUGGUGUCAGCCGCCGCGGUAAUACCAGCUCUCCGAGUGGUGUGGACGUUUAUUGGGCCUAAAGCAUCCGUAGCUGGCUGAACAAGUCCCCUGUUAAACCCACCGAUUUAAUCGUUGGUCUGCGGGGGAUACUGCUCGGCUAGGGGACGAGAGAGGCAGACGGUAUUCCCGGGGUAGGGGUGAAAUCCUAUAAUCCCGAGAAGACCACCAGUGGCGAAGGCUGUCUGCUAGAACGCGCCCGACGGUGAGGGAUGAAAGCUGGGGGAGCGAACCGGAUUAGAUACCCGGGUAGUCCCAGCUGUAAACGAUGCAGACUAGGUGUUUGGACGGCCACGUGCCGUUCUAGUGCCGCAGGGAAGCUGUUAAGUCUGCCGCCUGGGGAGUACGAUCGCAAGAUUGAAACUUAAAGGAAUUGGCGGGGGAGCAC
This 547-nucleotide ribosomal RNA is filed under the name uncultured archaeon. RNAcentral describes it as "bacterial SSU rRNA". It matches the Rfam family "Archaeal small subunit ribosomal RNA", at positions 330 to 879 of the family's 1478-position model. The record is from RNAcentral.